RNAcentral lists this ribosomal RNA (464 nucleotides) under uncultured bacterium. Its description in RNAcentral is "partial 16S ribosomal RNA". It matches the Rfam family "Bacterial small subunit ribosomal RNA", at positions 29 to 507 of the family's 1533-position model. The record is from RNAcentral.
ACGAACGCUGGCGGCGUGCUUCACACAUGCACGUCGAACGGAAAGGCCCUGCUUGCAGGGUACUCGAGUGGCGAACGGGUGAGUAACACGUGGGUGAUCUGCCCUGCACUUCGGGAUAAGCCUGGGAAACUGGGUCUAAUACCGGAUAGGAGCCAUUUUUAGUGUGAUGGUUGGAAAGUUUUUUCGGUGUAGGAUGAGCUCGCGGCCUAUCAGCUUGUUGGUGGGGUAAUGGCCUACCAAGGCGGCGACGGGUAGCCGGCCUGAGAGGGUGGACGGCCACAUUGGGACUGAGAUACGGCCCAGACUCCUACGGGAGGCAGCAGUGGGGAAUAUUGCACAAUGGGCGCAAGCCUGAUGCAGCGACGCCGCGUGGGGGAUGACGGCCUUCGGGUUGUAAACUCCUUUCGCUAGGGACGAAGCUUUUUGUGACGGUACCUAGAUAAGUAGCACCGGCUAACUACGUG